GACGAACGCUGGCGGCGUGCUUAACACAUGCAAGUCGAACGGAAAGGCCCUGCUUUUGUGGGGUGCUCGAGUGGCGAACGGGUGAGUAACACGUGAGUAACCUGCCCUUGACUUUGGGAUAACUUCAGGAAACUGGGGCUAAUACCGGAUAGGAGCUCCUGCUGCAUGGUGGGGGUUGGAAAGUUUCGGCGGUUGGGGAUAGACUCGCCGCUUAUCAGCUUGUUGGUGGGGUAGUGGCUUACCAAGGCUUUGACGGGUAGCCGGCCUGAGAGGGUGACCGGCCACAUUGGGACUGAGAUACGGCCCAGACUCCUACGGGAGGCAGCAGUGGGGAAUAUUGCACAAUGGGCGGAAGCCUGAUGCAGCAACGCCGCGUGCGGGAUGACGGCCUUCGGGUUGUAAACCGCUUUCGCCUGUGACGAAGCGUGAGUGACGGUAAUGGGUAAAGAAGCACCGGCUAACUACGUG
RNAcentral lists this ribosomal RNA (468 nucleotides) under uncultured bacterium. RNAcentral describes it as "partial 16S ribosomal RNA". It matches the Rfam family "Bacterial small subunit ribosomal RNA", at positions 28 to 507 of the family's 1533-position model. The record is from RNAcentral.